CCCUGUUGCAACUUGAAAUUUUUCCAGAAAGUUCAACUAUCGUGUUUUGAGUUCCAGCUAAUUUCAAUCCAAUUUCUUGAUUCCAUUAGCAUCUUCGACAUCCUCUGAAACUUUUGCAAUGAUUCCCAAGAUCUAAGACCUUAUGAUUAGCUCCAACCAGAUCAAGCUCCAUCAACUUCUGAUCACCAUUUGGACAAGGUAGUUCUGAGCAUCAUUUAAACUCAAACAAGUUACCACAAUGUAGUCUUUCACUCUCUGAU
Molecule: long non-coding RNA, 260 nt
Filed under: Lathyrus oleraceus (garden pea)
Lineage: Eukaryota; Viridiplantae; Streptophyta; Magnoliopsida; Fabales; Fabaceae
Description: Pisum sativum (pea) long non-coding RNA (PSAT_LNC001753)
Source: RNAcentral